GACGAACGCUGGCGGCGUGCCUAAUACAUGCAAGUUGAGCGCUGAAGGUUGGUACUUGUACCAACUGGAUGAGCAGCGAACGGGUGAGUAACGCGUGGGGAAUCUGCCUUUGAGCGGGGGACAACAUUUGGAAACGAAUGCUAAUACCGCAUAAAAACUUUAAACACAAGUUUUAAGUUUGAAGGAUGCAAUUGCAUCACUCAAAGAUGAUCCCGCGUUGUAUUAGCUAGUUGGUGAGGUAGAGGCUCACCAAGGCGAUGAUACAUAGCCGACCUGAGAGGGUGAUCGGCCACAUUGGGACUGAGACACGGCCCAAACUCCUACGGGAGGCAGCAGUAGGGAAUCUUCGGCAAUGGACGAAAGUCUGACCGAGCAACGCCGCGUGAGUGAAGAAGGGUUUCGGAUCGUAAAACUCUGUUGGUAGAGAAGAACGUUGGUGAGAGUGGAAAGCUCAUCAAGUGACGGUAACUACCCAGAAAGGGACGGCUAACUACGUG
RNAcentral lists this ribosomal RNA (497 nucleotides) under uncultured bacterium. Its description in RNAcentral is "partial 16S ribosomal RNA". It matches the Rfam family "Bacterial small subunit ribosomal RNA", at positions 28 to 507 of the family's 1533-position model. The record is from RNAcentral.